AUGGCGCGGUUCGAGGUGAACGGCAAGUCGGUGGAGGGCGUGGACCUGCUGCGGCGGCGCCACUGGACGGCGCGCCUCGACUUCUGGCCCUUCCUCGCGCUCUACGCGCUCUGGCUGCUGCUCGCCGUCCCGGCGCUCGACUUCACCGACGCCCUCGUCAUCCUCGGCGUCCUCUCCGCCUCCCACAUCCUUGCGUUCCUCUUCACCGCUUGGUCCGUCGACUUCCGGGCGUUCGUCGGGCACUCCAAGGUUAAGGACAUCCAUGCGGCGAACGCGUGCAAAGUAAUCCCGGCGAAGUUCCUGGGGUCGAAAGAGAUUGUGCCUCUGCAUAUACAGAAAACUGUUGCCUCAUCGUCGACGUCAGGUGAGACGGAGGAGAUCUACUUUGAUUUCCGGAAGCAGAGAUUCUUUUACUCGGCAGAGAAGGAUAACUUUUUCAAGCUACGUUACCCGACAAAGGACUUAUUUGGGCAUUAUAUCAAGGGCACCGGGUAUGGAACAGAGGCCAAGAUUAACACUGCUAUGGACAAGUGGGGGAGAAACAUAUUUGAGUAUCCACAGCCCACAUUUCAGAAAUUAAUGAAGGAACAAUGCAUGGAGCCCUUUUUCGUUUUCCAGGUUUUCUGUGUUGGCCUUUGGUGUCUGGAUGAGUAUUGGUACUACAGUUUGUUUACACUUUUCAUGCUCUUCCUAUUUGAGUCUACUAUGGCAAAGAAUAGAUUGAAGACAUUGACUGAGCUUAGGCGUGUGAAAGUUGAUAAUCAGAUUGUGUUGACUUACCGCUGUGGAAAAUGGGUUAAAAUCUCAGGCACAGAACUACUACCUGGAGAUAUUGUGUCAAUAGGCCGCUCGCCUAGUGGUGAAGAUAGAUCUGUACCAGCAGAUAUGCUAUUACUGGCUGGAUCUGCCAUAGUAAAUGAAGCUAUUCUUACAGGAGAGUCUACUCCACAGUGGAAGGUCUCAGUUGCUGGCCGUGGCCCUGACGAAAUGUUAUCGAUAAAGAGAGAUAAGAAUCAUAUCCUAUUUGGUGGCACAAAGAUAUUGCAACACACGCCAGAUAAGUCUGUAAAUCUUCGGGCACCUGAUGGUGGUUGUGUAGCUUUUGUAUUGAGAACUGGAUUUGAGACUAGCCAGGGAAAAUUGAUGAGAACUAUCUUAUUCUCAACUGAGAGGGUUACUGCAAAUAGCAAGGAAAGUGGGUUGUUUAUACUAUUUUUGCUAUUCUUUGCGAUAAUUGCAUCAGGCUAUGUGCUUAUGAAGGGACUGGAGGAUCCCACAAGAAGCAGAUAUAAACUUUUUUUAAGUUGUUCACUUAUUCUGACUUCUGUGAUUCCUCCUGAACUGCCAAUGGAGCUGUCCAUAGCAGUUAAUACAUCUUUAAUUGCUUUAGUACGGCGUGGCAUUUUCUGCACGGAACCAUUCAGAAUACCAUUUGCUGGGAAGGUUGACAUAUGCUGCUUCGAUAAGACUGGAACAUUGACAUCGGAUGAUAUGGAGUUCCAAGGAGUUGUUACUUUGGAAAGCGACGCAGAAUUAAUAUCUGACGCAAAUAAGUUGCCUCUCCGCAUUCAAGAAGUGCUAUCCAGCUGCCAUGCAUUGGUAUUUGUGGACAACAAACUGGUUGGUGACCCCCUUGAAAAAGCUGCAAUAAAAGGCAUAGACUGGAUCUACACCUCUGAUGAGAAAGCCAUGUCUAGGAGGCCUGGUGGCCAACCUGUACAGAUUGUACACAGAUAUCACUUUGCUUCUCACUUGAAGAGAAUGUCUGUUAUUGUCCGUAUCCAGGAGAAAUUUUAUGCUUUCAUAAAGGGUGCACCGGAGACCAUUCAGGAGAGGUUAGUUGAUCUACCUGCUGCGUAUGUGGAAACAUACAAAAAAUACACGCGUCAGGGCUCCCGGGUCUUGUCUCUUGCGUACAAACUGCUUCCGGAGAUGCCUGUUAGUGAAGCUAGAAGUCUGGAAAGGGAUCAAGUGGAGAGUGACUUAAUUUUUGCUGGUUUUGCGGUCUUCAACUGUCCUAUAAGGAGUGAUUCUGCCUCUGUCUUGCUCGAACUGGAACAAUCUUCGCAUGACUUGGUUAUGAUCACCGGGGACCAAGCUUUGACUGCUUGUCAUGUUGCUAGCCAAGUGAAUAUCUGUUCGAAGCCGGUUCUAAUUUUAACACGGAUGAAGACUAGUGGAUUCGAGUGGGUUUCCCCCGAUGAAACUGAUAGAGUUCCAUACAGAGCUGAGGAGGUUAAAGAAUUAUCAGAAUCACAUGAUCUUUGCAUUAGUGGGGACUGCUUUGAAAUGCUACAAAGGACCGAUGCUGUUGUCCAAGUCAUUCCUCAUGUGAAGGUUUUUGCGCGCGUUGCUCCAGAACAGAAAGAACUUGUACUGACAACAUUUAAGACUGUUGGGAGGAUGACACUGAUGUGUGGAGAUGGAACCAAUGAUGUUGGUGCACUGAAACAGGCACAUGUUGGCAUAGCUCUGUUAAAUGCUGAACCGGUGCAGAAAGCUGGCUCGAAAUCUCAGUCAUCCAAACUUGAAAGCAAAUCAGGGAAGCUGAAAAAACCGAAACCUGCUAACGAGUCAUCAUCGCAAUUGGUUCCACCAGCUAGCAGUUCCGCUAAAGCACCCAGCAGCCGCCCCUUGACUGCUGCUGAGAAACAGCGCGAAAAGCUGCAGAAGAUGUUAGAUGAAAUGAAUGAUGAAAGUGAUGGCCGCUCAGCACCGAUUGUAAAGCUUGGGGAUGCAUCCAUGGCCUCGCCUUUCACAGCAAAGCAUGCCUCUGUUGCCCCCACGCUUGAUAUCAUCCGCCAGGGGCGAAGCACCCUAGUCACUACACUCCAAAUGUUCAAGAUUCUUGGACUCAACUGCCUUGCAACAGCAUACGUUCUCAGUGUAAUGUACUUGGAUGGUGUGAAACUGGGUGAUGUUCAAGCUACAAUCAGUGGUGUCUUCACUGCAGCAUUUUUCCUCUUCAUCUCCCAUGCUCGCCCACUUCAAGCACUGUCUGCAGAGCGCCCUCAUCCUAACAUCUUUUGUGCAUACGUCUUCCUUUCCAUUCUUGGCCAGUUUGCAAUGCACUUGUUCUUCUUGAUGUCAGCUGUCAACUUAGCAUCCAAGUAUAUGCCAGAGGAAUGCAUUGAGCCUGAUUCAGAGUUCCAUCCAAACCUCGUCAACACAGUUUCAUACAUGGUGAACAUGAUGAUCCAGGUGGCAACUUUUGCUGUGAACUACAUGGGCCACCCAUUCAACCAGAGCAUAUCGGAGAACAAGCCAUUCAAGUAUGCUCUCUAUUCAGCUGUUGUUUUCUUCACGGUGAUCACAUCGGAUAUGUUCAGGGAUCUGAACGACUACAUGAAGCUCGAGCCCUUGCCUGAAGGAAUGAGGAGCAAACUGCUGCUUUGGGCUAUGCUUAUGUUUUGCGGUUGCUAUGGAUGGGAGCGCUUCUUGCGGUGGGCGUUCCCAGGCAAGAUGCCAGCGUGGGAGAAGCGCCAGAAACAGGCGGUUGCAAACCUAGACAAGAAGCAGGCAUAG
Molecule: ribosomal RNA, 3525 nt
Filed under: Triticum aestivum (bread wheat)
Lineage: Eukaryota; Viridiplantae; Streptophyta; Magnoliopsida; Poales; Poaceae
Description: partial small subunit ribosomal RNA
Source: RNAcentral